CCGUUAGCUCAGUUGGUAGAACGGUUGAUUUUUAAUCAGUAGAUCAUAUGUUCGAGUUGGAACAAACUAACUUCAUAUACUACGUG
RNAcentral lists this transfer RNA (86 nucleotides) under Photorhabdus heterorhabditis. RNAcentral's name for it is "tRNA-Lys". Lineage: Bacteria; Pseudomonadati; Pseudomonadota; Gammaproteobacteria; Enterobacterales; Morganellaceae. The record is from RNAcentral.